CCCUGCGGACGGAUUGAACGGCAUCGGGUAGCGAGAACCCGGCAGGG
Molecule: small RNA, 47 nt
Filed under: uncultured Bacteroides sp.
Lineage: Bacteria; Pseudomonadati; Bacteroidota; Bacteroidia; Bacteroidales; Bacteroidaceae
Description: DUF2693-FD RNA
Rfam family: DUF2693-FD RNA
About the family: DUF2693-FD RNA is a non-coding RNA (ncRNA) recognised in Bacteroides by a bioinformatic analisis by Zasha Weinberg. No recognised genes.
Source: RNAcentral